This 425-nucleotide ribosomal RNA is filed under the name uncultured bacterium. RNAcentral describes it as "partial 16S ribosomal RNA". It matches the Rfam family "Bacterial small subunit ribosomal RNA", at positions 354 to 796 of the family's 1533-position model. The record is from RNAcentral.
GUGGGGAAUCUUAGACAAUGGGCGCAAGCCUGAUCUAGCCAUGCCGCGUGAGCGAUGAAGGCCUUAGGGUUGUAAAGCUCUUUCGUGGGGAAAGAUAAUGACUGUACCCCAAGAAGAAGCCCCGGCUAACUCCGUGCCAGCAGCCGCGGUAAUACGGAGGGGGCUAGCGUUGUUCGGAAUUACUGGGCGUAAAGCGCACGUAGGCGGACUGGAAAGUCAGGGGUGAAAUCCCGGGGCUCAACCCCGGAACUGCCUUUGAAACUCCCAGUCUUGAGUUCGAGAGAGGUGAGUGGAAUUCCGAGUGUAGAGGUGAAAUUCGUAGAUAUUCGGAGGAACACCAGUGGCGAAGGCGGCUCACUGGCUCGAUACUGACGCUGAGGUGCGAAAGCGUGGGGAGCAAACAGGAUUAGAUACCCUUGUAGUCC